Molecule: ribosomal RNA, 407 nt
Filed under: uncultured bacterium
Lineage: Bacteria
Description: partial 16S ribosomal RNA
Rfam family: Bacterial small subunit ribosomal RNA
Source: RNAcentral
AUUGAACGCUGGCGGCAGGCCUAACACAUGCAAGUCGAGCGGAGCGGCGGACGGGUGAGUAAUGCCUAGGCAUCUGCCUGGUAGUGGGGGAUAUCGUCCGGUAUCGGGCGCUAAUACCGCAUACUAUCAGAUGAGCCUAGGUCGGAUUAGCUAGUUGGUGGGGUAAAGGACUACCAAGGCGACGAUCCGUAACUGGUCUGAGAGGAUGAUCAGUCACACGGGAACGUAGACACGGUCCAGACGCCUACGGGAGGCAGCAGGGGGGAAUAUUGGACAAUGGGCGAAAGCCUGAUCCAGCCAUGCCGCGUGUGUGAAGAAGGUCUUCGGAUUGUAAAGCACUUGAAGUUGGGAGGCGUUACCAACAGAAUAAGCACCGGCUAACUUCGUGCCAGCAGCCGCGGUAAUUC